CGGAGGGAGCGAGCGUUGUCCGAAGUUACUGGGCGUAAAGCGCGCGUAGGCGGGGAAUUAAGUGAGAAGUGAAAGGCUGGGGCUUAACCCCAUGCAGUGCUUCUCAUACUGGUUCUCUUGAGGGUGGUAGAGAGAAGUGGAAUGGCUGGUGUAGCGGUGAAAUGCGUAGAUAUCAGUCGGAACACCAGUGGCGAAGGCGGCUUCUUGGGCCAUUUCUGACGCUGAGGCGCGAAAGCUAGGGGAGCGAACGGGAUUAGAUACCCCGGUAGUCCUAGCCGUAAACGAUGGAUACUAGGUGUCGGGGGUAUCGACCCCUCCGGUGCCGCAGCUAACGCACUAAGCAUCCCGCCUGGGGAGUACGGCCGCAAGGUUG
Molecule: ribosomal RNA, 373 nt
Filed under: uncultured organism
Description: bacterial SSU rRNA
Rfam family: Bacterial small subunit ribosomal RNA
Source: RNAcentral